This 440-nucleotide ribosomal RNA is filed under the name uncultured bacterium. RNAcentral describes it as "partial 16S ribosomal RNA". It matches the Rfam family "Bacterial small subunit ribosomal RNA", at positions 338 to 795 of the family's 1533-position model. The record is from RNAcentral.
CCUACGGGAGGCAGCAGUGGGGAAUAUUGCACAAUGGGGGGAACCCUGAUGCAGCGACGCCGCGUGGGUGAAGGAGUACUUCGGUACGUAAAGCCCUAUCAGCAGGAAAGAAAAUGACGGUACCUGACUAAGAAGCCCCGGCUAACUACGUGCCAGCAGCCGCGGUAAUACGUAGGGGGCAAGCGUUAUCCGGAUUUACUGGGGGGAAAGGGAGCGUAGACGGGAGUGCAAGUCCGGAGUGAAAGCCCGGGGCUCAACCCUGGGACUGCUCUUGAAACUGUGCAGCUAGAGUGCAGGAGAGGUAAGUGGAAUUCCUAGUGUAGCGGUGAAAUGCGUAGAUAUUAGGAGGAACACCAGUGGCGAAGGCGGCUUACUGGACUGUAACUGACGUUGAGGCUCGAAAGCGUGGGGAGCAAACAGGAUUAGAUACCCUUGUAGUC